Small nucleolar RNA from Dioscorea cayenensis subsp. rotundata (Guinea yam), 108 nucleotides. NCBI's taxonomy places the organism in Eukaryota, Viridiplantae, Streptophyta, Magnoliopsida, Dioscoreales, Dioscoreaceae. The record is from RefSeq and is a predicted model, not a curated record.
AAGCCGUGAUGGGGGCAUCUUCGAAGGAGAUCCUUAAAUCUUUCAUAAGCUUCAAAUAGAGUCUCCGAUUAUCCUUGUUUGAAAGGCUGAAAUUUCAUGCCUUAGCUU